AUAGGCAGCCCCUAUGGUCACAGGCUUUGAUGAAAUCAAAACCAGACAUUCCUUUUCCUGACUCCAGGGAAUCUUUGUGCCCAAGGCUCAUUUCAUGGAGGCUCCUGGAGGUGGAGAGAACUGAGGAAUAGCAUACUCCCUCUGUCUGGCCCUGUCUCUACUCACAUUCCUUUAUUGGCUACAGGCCCGCAUUCCUUCUGAUAAGUUGGUCUUCUGUCAACCGAGUCUGCAGAAGUCAUCCUGUCUUUCUCCAUGGAAACUGCUUUGGAUAAGUUAUCACUUCCUUCGGCAGACUCUCCUAGUGUACACAGAGAAGGACAUCCAGAAGACCCUGAAAAGGAGAUGACAGUCCUUCCUGGAGACUCUGAAGGGGAGAGGAGGAGCCCCAGAUCAAGCUCCAACUUCAGAUUAUCUAUCGGGUCCACCCAAAAACAUGUUUGUCCUGAAAUAGAUGCUCAGUGUGUUGGAUCAAUAAAGAAAAAAGAGAUUCCUGACCCUCAACACACUCUUGGGCUUCCCUUGAAGGAGUGGGUGUAUAAAUAUUUUAAUUAUGCUGGAGAGAUCAAGGCUGCCCAAUGUAUUCUCACUUAAGAAUCAAAAAAGGCAAAAAAAAAAAAAAAAAAAAAAGAAUCAAAAGAGGCAAACCUUGAACAUGCAGAUUCUCAGACUCCUCCCCUGGCCAUCUGAGUCUCCCUGGUGUGGGAGGCAGCCCUGAGAUCUGUUUGACAGUGACCCAGGUAAUUCUGAGGUCUGGGACAUCUCUUAGAGACAUGGAUCUAAACCUGUAAGUAUCAAUUUUUUUUUCUUUUCCUCUAAACUAUUUUCACAAAUCUAUAUUCAUCACCAAACAUUUUUAAGUAGACAUCUAAAAUUUUUUCAUCAUAAGGAUGAGAUUUCUAGCCUAAAAUAAAAAUGGACAUUUUAAGUAAGUAAAACUGUUAAUAUCACUCUUUUCAAUACAUCCAAAAGAAUGUAAAUAACAGGGGCACCUGGAUGGCUCAGUGAUUGAGUAUCUGCCUUUGGCUCAGGUUGUGAUCCUGGGGUCCUGGGAUUGAGUCCCAGUUAGGCUCCCUGCUCAGUGGGGGCCUGCUUCUCCCUUUGCCUAUGCCUCUGCCUCUCUCUCUAUCUCUCAUAAAUAAAUAAAUUCUAAAAAGAAUGUAAAUAAUAUAGGGUUUCAAUAUGCACCAUCAUCCAUUCUAAAAAUAUGAGAAUGAGCUCUCAGUAAUGGAUAAAACAUUUACACUGCUUUUUUUUUAUUUUUUAUUUUUCCCUCAUUUGAUCUUCCCUUCUAGUCUACUUCCCCCACAGGAUUUUAUAGAACAUGAUCUAUUUUAUGCUUGGAAGUCUUUUAUUGUUUGCCCUCUCAUAUUCUAUAGGCUCUCCUAUUUCUCAUAUUUAUAAAUUGAUACUGAAAUUUAAGAUAUAAUUUCCCAAAGGCCUAA
This 1442-nucleotide long non-coding RNA is filed under the name Canis lupus familiaris (dog). RNAcentral describes it as "lncRNA (ENSCAFG00040017079.1)". Lineage: Eukaryota; Metazoa; Chordata; Mammalia; Carnivora; Canidae. The record is from RNAcentral.